GGAAAGUGUGUCUGUGGCUCAUCUUAGCGAUCUGCCCACUGCCAGCAGCACUGGCCCAGGACUGGCAGAUAGUGAUGCUGAACCAAGACCAAUACAAGUCCAGCAACAGCUAAACAGUUCUCAAAAUGAAACAUCUGGUUUGCUGCUACCACUACUGUUGCCAAACUCAGAGAACCCAGCAAAGAUAUCACUGUACUCAUUCUGUCUAGUUUUCUGUUAACCUGACACAAGCUGAAGUCAUCUGGGAGGAGGGAAUGUGAAUUUUAAAAUGCUCCCAUAAGAUGGGGCUACAGAUCCUGAUCCCGCUGCUUUGGCUUUCACUUACUGACAUGGGAACCCAUUGUGGUCAUCUGCAAGAGGAACGGACAGACACAUGGAAGAACCUGACUGUCCUAAAAGCAGCAGACCAGAGUUAGCUAUUACAAGGAGAGCUCCACUUAAAUUUGAGCUAGUCGACAGGAUCGUGGCAUGUUCUAAUGUGUUAGGGGUUGGGGCAGUGGAGACUUUGGUGCCUACAAGCCAAAAAUCUUUGUUGAAUCUGGUUUCUAUUUGGGUUAUCUUAUCCCUGGGAGGAAGAGAUGGUGGCCUAUAUAGCCUUGUCACCACAGUAAACAUAGUGGGAAAAAUGAACCACGAACAAGAAGAAAAGAACAGCAAAGUCUGCAGGCAUGAUGAGAACCUGACCCCUCCAGUUGAAUUCACUUCCUGUGCCAUUGUUGGACACUGGAAAACAAUUUCCAAUCAUUUGCCAGAGGCUGCAGAACAAUUUUCCCCCAUCAGGAAACAGUUUGAGCUUGGCUUAUUGUACAGAAAAGGCAAAGCCGUACCAGACUUGCAGCUGUCAGGGACAGAAAGGGUCCCUUUUGCCGUCCAAAGGUUAAGGCAAUAGGUUCUAAGGCACUGAUUGAAGUUUAUUGAUUUUCAAUUGAUGAAGAACUGACAACACCAGGUGGUAAAAUUGCAUCGUUCAACUCUGAGAAUAUUGUCUCUUAUCCUAGAUUCAUUCUUGAGGUUGACACGUCGGUUUCUGGUAAUCAUUUGUUACAUUUUUCAAUCUGGACACUAAAUUGGUAUGUAGCAACAAUAUGAGGGUGAUUACAGGAGUCGGAAGGACCUUAAGUCUUGGAAGCCUGGAUGCUGUUAGGAAUCAGGUUCUUCUUACUACUGAAUUAGCAUUAGUUCCGCUCAAGAGGAAAGUGCGUAGCAAAGAGCUGGAUUCAAUUCAAUUAAAAGAAUGUGAAUGUGGUUUUUCUGUGAGUCAAGGCACAGUGCAGAAGGUUGCAGAAAUGAGGGCCUCUUUCUCUCUCCCCCUCCCAUUUCUUCCCAUUUAAAUACCUCUUCAUUAAUUCUGUAAAAUCCACAAGAGAAUUCUCUGCUCCCAGGGGUCCAGCCUUUCUCACUUCAGUUGAAAACAGCACUUCCCAACAGAUGAUUAAGUUUUAUUUCCCCUUGCUGCUGGGGGUGGAGGUGAAGAAGGAAGAGGCAUUCCUCUGAGCUGGUUUCUCCAGUUGCUUCUUCCAUAUUCAUGAGCCAACCUUUUCCCAUUUCUCCUCAAAAUGUUCUGUAGCAGAACAUUCAUUAAAAUGUACCUUACCAAAGAAAAUGAAA
Long non-coding RNA from Apodemus sylvaticus (European woodmouse), 1608 nucleotides. RefSeq lists it as uncharacterized. The transcript has 3 exons. The record is from RefSeq and is a predicted model, not a curated record. Lineage: Eukaryota; Metazoa; Chordata; Mammalia; Rodentia; Muridae.